Long non-coding RNA from Pygocentrus nattereri (red-bellied piranha), 363 nucleotides. The record is from Ensembl. NCBI's taxonomy places the organism in Eukaryota, Metazoa, Chordata, Actinopteri, Characiformes, Serrasalmidae.
UGGCGGAAACGGAUGUGCGGUAAUGUAACGUGAGACGUUCCUUUCUGUGAGGAGGCUUGAAAAUGGUCGAGAACAAUACAGUACAUACAGUGUUAGUGACCUGUCCGUAUUCCUCUCAGGCUACUGACCGUUUCUGACAUGGCACGCAUGGACAAGCUCCCAGAAGAGCUGCCCAGUCGAGGCCUUCGCCGCGUUACUGUCACCUGAGCGGGGGACCCUCGCGGGCAGGACCGCCAAGAGCGUUAAACUAGCACCUCCACUUUGUGUGGAGAAGAAACACAGGACACGGGCCAAAGAUUUCACCUACUGAGCUGGAGACCUGAGGCAAUGAAGCAAGCUGAGCGUAGCUGAAAAAGUGCAUGA